UAGGCAACUUAAUAACCACUAGCUAUGA
RNAcentral lists this non-coding RNA (28 nucleotides) under Mus musculus (house mouse). Lineage: Eukaryota; Metazoa; Chordata; Mammalia; Rodentia; Muridae. The record is from RNAcentral.